UACGUAGGCAGCAAGCGUUGUUCGGAGUUACUGGGCGUAAAGGGUGUGUAGGCGGUUGGAUAAGUGUGGUGUGAAAUCUCCCGGCUUAACUGGGAGGGUGCGCUACAAACUGUCUGACUAGAGUGUGGGAUGGGUAAGUGGAAUUCCUGGUGUAGCGGUGAAAUGCGUAGAUAUCAGGAGGAACACCGGUGGUGUAGACGGCUUACUGGACCAUAACUGACGUGAGACACGAAAAGCGUGGGUAGCAAAACAGG
This 254-nucleotide ribosomal RNA is filed under the name uncultured bacterium. RNAcentral describes it as "partial 16S ribosomal RNA". It matches the Rfam family "Bacterial small subunit ribosomal RNA", at positions 524 to 776 of the family's 1533-position model. The record is from RNAcentral.